AACAUGGCUCUUCGUUCUAUGAAGAUGAGGAGUCGGACCUGCCCAGUGAGCAGUAAGCUUUAACGGCCGCGGUACCCUGACCGUGCAAAGGUAGCAUAAUCAUUUGCCUUUUAAUUGAAGGCUGGUAUGAAUGGUUUGACGAAAACGGAGCUGUCUCUUAUCUACUAUCUAAAAAUUAAUUUUGAUGUGAAGAAGCAUUAAUAAUUCUAAAAGACAAGAAGACCCUGUUGAGCUUUAAUAAGAGAAAAAAAUAAGAAUAUGAAUCAAAAUAAUAUUUUUUUAGUAUUAUUUUAGUUGGGGCGACUGAGGAACAAAAGAGCUUCCUUUGAUUUUUAUAAUAUAUUUAUUUUGAUCCAGAAAAAUUCUGAUUAAAAGAAUUAGUUACCACAGGGAUAACAGCGUAAUCCUUUUUUAGAGUUCUUAUCGAAAAAAGGGCUUGCGACCUCGAUGUUGGAUUAAGAUUUCCAGUUGGUGCAGAAGCUUUCUUUGGUUGGUCUGUUCGACCAUUAAAAUCUUACGUGAUCUGAGUUCAGACCGGA
Molecule: ribosomal RNA, 539 nt
Filed under: Peltospira smaragdina
Lineage: Eukaryota; Metazoa; Mollusca; Gastropoda; Neomphalida; Peltospiridae
Description: partial 16S ribosomal RNA
Rfam family: Bacterial large subunit ribosomal RNA
Source: RNAcentral